CCUACGGGGGGCAGCAGUAGGGAAUUUUCCACAAUGGACGAAAGUCUGAUGGAGCAACGCCGCGUGCAGGAUGAAUGCCUUAGGGUUGUAAACUGCUUUUAAUAGUGACGAAUAUGACGGUAACUAUUGAAUAAGCUUCGGCUAAUUCCGUGCCAGCAGCCGCGGUCAUACGGAAGAAGCAAGCGUUAUCCGGAAUUACUGGGCGUAAAGAGUUGCGUAGGUGGCAUAGUAAGUCAGCAGUGAAAGCGUGGGGCUCAACCCCAUACACAUUGUUGAAACUGCUAAGCUAGAGAAUGAGAGAGGUAUCUGGAAUUCCCAGUGUAGGAGUGAAAUCCGUAGAUAUUGGGAGGAACACCGAUGGCGUAGGCAGGGUACUGGCUCAUUUCUGACACUAAGGCACGAAAGCGUGGGGAGCAAACGGGAUUAGAUACCCGAGUAGU
RNAcentral lists this ribosomal RNA (440 nucleotides) under uncultured bacterium. Its description in RNAcentral is "partial 16S ribosomal RNA". It matches the Rfam family "Bacterial small subunit ribosomal RNA", at positions 338 to 794 of the family's 1533-position model. The record is from RNAcentral.